This 1195-nucleotide non-coding RNA is filed under the name Coregonus albula (vendace). RNAcentral's name for it is "partial small subunit ribosomal RNA". The stretch from base 1 to 944 matches the Rfam family "Bacterial small subunit ribosomal RNA". The record is from RNAcentral. Lineage: Eukaryota; Metazoa; Chordata; Actinopteri; Salmoniformes; Salmonidae.
GGUCCUGACUUUAUUAUCAGCUUUAACUGAACUUACACAUGCGAGUCUCCGCACUCCUGUGAGGAUGCCCUUAAUCCCCUGCCCGGGGACGAGGAGCCGGCAUCAGGCACGCCCCGGCAGCCCAAGACGCCUUGCUAAGCCACACCCCCAAGGAAACUCAGCAGUGAUAGAUAUUAAGCUAUAAGCGAAAGCUUGACUUAGUUAAGGUUAAGAGGGCCGGUAAAACUCGUGCCAGCCACCGCGGUUAUACGAGAGGCCCUAGUUGAUGAUCACCGGCGUAAAGAGUGGUUAGGAAUUAUAUUUAAUAAAGCCGAACACCCCCUUGGCUGUCAUACGCACCUGGGGGCACGAAGCCCCACUGCGAAAGCAGCUUUAAUCACCACCUGAACCCACGACAGCUAUGACACAAACUGGGAUUAGAUACCCCACUAUGCCUAGCCGUAAACUUUGAUGGAAACAUACAACUAACAUCCGCCAGGGAACUACAAGCGCCAGCUUAAAACCCAAAGGACUUGGCGGUGCCUCAGACCCACCUAGAGGAGCCUGUUCUAGAACCGAUAACCCCCGUUCAACCUCACCACCUCUUGUUUUCCCCGCCUAUAUACCACCGUCGUCAGCUUACCCUGUGAAGGAUUUAUAGUAAGCAAAAUGGGCAUGACCCAAAACGUCAGGUCGAGGUGUAGCGCAUGGGGUGGGAAGAAAUGGGCUACAUUCUCUAAAUUAGAGCAUUACGAACCACGCUGUGAAACCAGCGUCCGAAGGUGGAUUUAGCAGUAAACAGAAAGCAGAGAGUUCUCUUGAAACUGGCUCUGAGGCGCGCACACACCGCCCGUCACUCUCCCCAAGUUCAAUAUACCCUUCUAAUUAAGAAGUUAACCGAACAAAGGGGAGGCAAGUCGUAACAUGGUAAGUGUACCGGAAGGUGCACUUGGAAUAACCAGAGUGUAGCUAAGACAGAAGAGCACCUCCCUUACACCGAGAAGACAUCCGUGCAAAUCGGGUCACCCUGAGCUGACUAGCUAGCCCACACAUUUGGUCUAACACCACAACAUACAUACCCCCACAAAACUUAGAAUUAAGUCAACAAACCAUUUUUCCCCCUUAGUAUGGGCGACAGAAAAGGGAAUGAUUGAGCAACAGAGAAAGUACCGCAAGGGAAAGCUGAAAGAGAACUGAAACAACCCAUUAAGCCUAG